RNAcentral lists this unclassified non-coding RNA (219 nucleotides) under Hevea brasiliensis (rubber tree). Lineage: Eukaryota; Viridiplantae; Streptophyta; Magnoliopsida; Malpighiales; Euphorbiaceae. The record is from RNAcentral.
GAGUUAUAUGAACAAGAGCAAAAUUUGGAGCAGGCUAUCACUUACUAUGAGAAAGCAGCUGAUCUUUUCCAGAGUGAGGAUGUAACAACAACUGCAAAUCAGUGCAAGCAGAAAAUUGCAGAAUUCUCUGCUAAAUUAGAAAAAUAUCAAAGAGCAAUUGAGAUCUUUGAGGAGAUAGCACAACACUCCAUCAAGAACAACUUGUUGAAGUAUGGAGUU